CAGAGUUACCCCAGUGUGGCGACUUCUGGACUUUCCUGCUUGCGGUGGAGCUGAAGAAGCUCACAGAUGAGACAGAGCCUUUUCCAGCUGUGCAAUAAAACAUUUGUGACUAUCCAGGAAUGAGGCUCCUUAUUGGCAUAUCCUAGAUGGCAUUGACAUGCACCAGGCUCACAUGAAAACCAUCACAUCACCUGCAGGAAGGAGAAAAAGAAGGGAGGAAUGACUCUCAGCAUUUCCUGAACCUAUGCAGCGGGUUUGAAACUCCUGGAAAGGUUUUAAACAUGUAGGAAGACCAAGAGACUGCAAUUCAGUGAGUAAACAGAGAGAAAUCUUUAUUUCUGGCUCCACUUUGGGAUUUGUAGCUCACUGCUCCUCCAGGCUGAAUGCAGCAAAUCCUUGAAGAGCAUGAUUAAGUCCUCCUGUUUCUGUGCAAGAGCCUGGAGCAGCUGCCUCCGUUCUCCUCUGGCUGGACUGUGUUUCUCAGGAUACAGGAGGGAUGCCAAGGAAGCAAUGUCUCUCCUGGGACAGGGUUGGAUGAAUCAUGUUAAGGGAGCUCCAGCAGAAAGUUUCACCCGCAAAGGGGUGGGGAACAGCAGCUGAUCUGGACCAAAUGAUGACUUAACCUUAAAAAUUAAGAUGUUUCUUCAAUUUUUGACCUGCUGGAAAACUGAAAAUAUUUCCAUGACAAUAUUUCCAUGAAACCCAACUUUUUUUCAGCAGCAAACCUUUCUUCUGCCCAAAGUCUGCCUGUUGGAAUGCUCCCCACCAGCUCUAUUGGUGGGCUGGGAAUUUUCCAGGACUAGCCUGAAGUUUCAGUCAAGGAGUUGUUUGGGGUUUUUUGGUUUGUUUAUUUGUUUGCUUUUAAGGCAGCCAAGCAAAACAACUGCUGGCAAGAACCUGAGUACCUGAUUCAUCCCUAUAAAAUUUUCUGCAAAGUGAGAAGGCGUUUGCUUUUUAAACUGAAUUUCCUCUGCUGCUCCA
Long non-coding RNA from Prinia subflava (tawny-flanked prinia), 981 nucleotides. RefSeq lists it as uncharacterized. The transcript is spliced from 4 exons. Lineage: Eukaryota; Metazoa; Chordata; Aves; Passeriformes; Cisticolidae. The record is from RefSeq and is a predicted model, not a curated record.